Molecule: ribosomal RNA, 254 nt
Filed under: uncultured bacterium
Lineage: Bacteria
Description: partial 16S ribosomal RNA
Rfam family: Bacterial small subunit ribosomal RNA
Source: RNAcentral
GACGAACCGUGCGACCGUUAUUCGGAAUCACUGGGCUUAAAGCGCGUGUAGGCGGAUGGGGACGUCGGUCGCUGAAAGCCCCCGGCUCAACCGGGGAACGGGCGCCGAAACGCCCCGUCUGGAGGGACGUAGGGGGACCUGGAACUUCCGGUGGAGCGGUGAAAUGCGUUGAGAUUGGAAAGAACACCGAUGGCGAAGGCACUUUACUGGGCUAUUACUAACACUCAGAGACGAAAGCUAGGGUAGCAAAUGGG